CGUCGCCGGCAGUCGGAUCUGGACGGGAGCGGGGCCGGGGCCCGCGCGUGGCGACGGGCGGCGUGCGUGCGCGCGCGCGCGCCGCCGCCGCCGGGCCCGCGUCGUUACCGCCCCGGCCGGACAUGCCCCGCGGACGCUACGCCGCGACG
This 149-nucleotide ribosomal RNA is filed under the name Ctenomys talarum (Talas tuco-tuco). RNAcentral's name for it is "partial 28S ribosomal RNA". The record is from RNAcentral. Lineage: Eukaryota; Metazoa; Chordata; Mammalia; Rodentia; Ctenomyidae.